Molecule: ribosomal RNA, 491 nt
Filed under: uncultured bacterium
Lineage: Bacteria
Description: partial 16S ribosomal RNA
Rfam family: Bacterial small subunit ribosomal RNA
Source: RNAcentral
AGUGAACGCUGGCGGUAGGCCUAACACAUGCAAGUCGAACGGCAGCACAGUAAGAGCUUGCUCUUACGGGUGGCGAGUGGCGGACGGGUGAGGAAUACAUCGGAAUCUACUUUUUCGUGGGGGAUAACGUAGGGAAACUUACGCUAAUACCGCAUACGACCUACGGGUGAAAGCAGGGGAUCUUCGGACCUUGCGCGAUUGAAUGAGCCGAUGUCGGAUUAGCUAGUUGGCGGGGUAAAGGCCCACCAAGGCGACGAUCCGUAGCUGGUCUGAGAGGAUGAUCGGCCAAACUGGAACUGGGACACGGUCCAGACCCCUAGGGGAGGCAGGAGGGGGGAAUUUUGGAAAAGGGGCGAAAGCCUGAACCAGCCAUCCCGGGGGGGUGAAGAAGGCCUUCGGGUUGUAAAGCCCUUUUGUUGGGAAAAAAAAGAAGCAGGUUAAUACCCCGCUGUUCUGGCGGUACCAAAAAAAAAAGCACCGGCGAAUUGCGU